This 381-nucleotide ribosomal RNA is filed under the name uncultured bacterium. RNAcentral's name for it is "bacterial SSU rRNA". It matches the Rfam family "Bacterial small subunit ribosomal RNA", at positions 524 to 904 of the family's 1533-position model. The record is from RNAcentral.
UACGGAGGGUGCAAGCGUUAAUCGGAAUUACUGGGCGUAAAGCGUGCGUAGGCGGUAAGUUAAGUCUGCUGUGAAAUCCCUGGGCUCAACCUGGGAAUGGCGGUAGAAACCGGCGAACUAGAGUAUGGGAGAGGGUGGUGGAGUUCCGGGUGUAGCGGUGAAAUGCGUAGAGAUCUGGAGGAACAUCAGUGGCGAAGGCGGCCACCUGGCCCAAUACUGACGCUGAGGCACGAAAGCGUGGGGAGCAAACAGGAUUAGAUACCCUGGUAGUCCACGCCCUAAACGAUGAAUACUAGAUGUUUGGUACCUAGCGUACUGAGUGUCGUAGCUAACGCGAUAAGUAUUCCGCCUGGGAAGUACGGCCGCAAGGUUAAAACUCAA